AGAGUUUGAUCCUGGCUCAGGACGAACGCUGGCGGCGUGCCUAAUACAUGCAAGUCGAACGCUUCUUUUUCCACCGGAGCUUGCUCCACCGGAAAAAGAGGAGUGGCGAACGGGUGAGUAACACGUGGGUAACCUGCCCAUCAGAAGGGGAUAACACUUGGAAACAGGUGCUAAUACCGUAUAACAAUCGAAACCGCAUGGUUUUGAUUUGAAAGGCGCUUUCGGGUGUCGCUGAUGGAUGGACCCGCGGUGCAUUAGCUAGUUGGUGAGGUAACGGCUCACCAAGGCGACGAUGCAUAGCCGACCUGAGAGGGUGAUCGGCCACAUUGGGACUGAGACACGGCCCAAACUCCUACGGGAGGCAGCAGUAGGGAAUCUUCGGCAAUGGACGAAAGUCUGACCGAGCAACGCCGCGUGAGUGAAGAAGGUUUUCGGAUCGUAAAACUCUGUUGUUAGAGAAGAACAAGGAUGAGAGUAACUGUUCAUCCCUUGACGGUAUCUAACCAGAAAGCCACGGCUAACUACGUGCCAGCAGCCGCGGUAAUACGUAGGUGGCAAGCGUUGUCCGGAUUUAUUGGGCGUAAAGCGAGCGCAGGCGGUUUCUUAAGUCUGAUGUGAAAGCCCCCGGCUCAACCGGGGAGGGUCAUUGGAAACUGGGAGACUUGAGUGCAGAAGAGGAGAGUGGAAUUCCAUGUGUAGCGGUGAAAUGCGUAGAUAUAUGGAGGAACACCAGUGGCGAAGGCGGCUCUCUGGUCUGUAACUGACGCUGAGGCUCGAAAGCGUGGGGAGCAAAACAGGAUUAGAUACCCUGGUAGUCCACGCCGUAAACGAUGAGUGCUAAGUGUUGGAGGGUUUCCGCCCUUCAGUGCUGCAGCUAACGCAUUAAGCACUCCGCCUGGGGAGUACGACCGCAAGGUUGAAACUCAAAGGAAUUGACGGGGGCCCGCACAAGCGGUGGAGCAUGUGGUUUAAUUCGAAGCAACGCGAAGAACCUUACCAGGUCUUGACAUCCUUUGACCACUCUAGAGAUAGAGCUUCCCCUUCGGGGGCAAAGUGACAGGUGGUGCAUGGUUGUCGUCAGCUCGUGUCGUGAGAUGUUGGGUUAAGUCCCGCAACGAGCGCAACCCUUAUUGUUAGUUGCCAUCAUUUAGUUGGGCACUCUAGCAAGACUGCCGGUGACAAACCGGAGGAAGGUGGGGAUGACGUCAAAUCAUCAUGCCCCUUAUGACCUGGGCUACACACGUGCUACAAUGGGAAGUACAACGAGUCGCAAAGUCGCGAGGCUAAGCUAAUCUCUUAAAGCUUCUCUCAGUUCGGAUUGUAGGCUGCAACUCGCCUACAUGAAGCCGGAAUCGCUAGUAAUCGCGGAUCAGCACGCCGCGGUGAAUACGUUCCCGGGCCUUGCACACAACGCCCGUCA
This 1420-nucleotide ribosomal RNA is filed under the name uncultured bacterium. RNAcentral describes it as "16S ribosomal RNA". It matches the Rfam family "Bacterial small subunit ribosomal RNA". The record is from RNAcentral.